GGUGGACAAGACAUCCACAACAUUGCAGGGAGAAGAUCUGUACAUGUCUAUAUUGAGACCCAAUGGCCAUUACAUAUUUGGCCUUUCACUGAUUGCAGCUAUGCCAAGGACAUGAUCUGCCAGGAACUCCUCUGUAGAAGGCCCAUUGCAAAGAAUGACUCCAUUUCUAAAGCGGCCAUUUGGGCAGUCUGAGUGUGAGGAGGAAGAAAGCUGCCAGCAAGAUUCCUUGCCACCAACACCCAACAUGCUCUUUACCUACCCAGCACCUGACAAGGUUUCUGUCCUUCAAGGGGCAGAGUCCUCUCUCUGCAGACCAGAACUGUGGACUACUUGGAUCUGUUCUAAAGAGUUUUACUUUAUUUGUUUUUAUUUGUUUGUUAUUUAAAAAUUAAACUCUACUUUUUACCA
Rhineura floridana is the source of this 408-nucleotide long non-coding RNA. RefSeq lists it as uncharacterized. The record is from RefSeq and is a predicted model, not a curated record. NCBI's taxonomy places the organism in Eukaryota, Metazoa, Chordata, Lepidosauria, Squamata, Rhineuridae. The transcript is spliced from 2 exons.